Molecule: ribosomal RNA, 110 nt
Filed under: uncultured bacterium
Lineage: Bacteria
Description: partial 16S ribosomal RNA
Source: RNAcentral
GAGUCUGAUGCAGCGAUGCCGCGUGCGGGAUGAAGGCCUUAGGGUUGUAAAGCUCUUUUAACAGGAAGAUAAUGACUGUACACGUAUAGAAUGGUCCGGCUAACUUCGUG